Molecule: ribosomal RNA, 879 nt
Filed under: Pseudomazocraes selene
Lineage: Eukaryota; Metazoa; Platyhelminthes; Monogenea; Mazocraeidea; Mazocraeidae
Description: partial large subunit ribosomal RNA
Rfam family: Eukaryotic large subunit ribosomal RNA
Source: RNAcentral
AACCAGGAUUCCCCUAGUAACGGCGAGUGAACAGGGAUUAGCCCAGCACCGAAGCCUGCGUCCGUUUGGGCGUUAGGCAAUGUGGUGUUUAGGUCUAUUGCUUUCGUAUGCUACUUUGUUCCAAGUCCAAACUUGAAUAUGGCAUUUGUAUGGCCCAGAGAGGGUGAAAGGCCCGUAUGGACAGAGUGGUGUUUGACUGCAUUGACCAUGGAGUCGGGUUGUUUGAGAAUGCAGCCCAAAGUUGGUGGUAAACUCCAUCUAAGGCUAAAUACUGGCACGAGUCCGAUAGCGAACAAGUACCGUGAGGGAAAGUUGAAAAGUACUCUGAAGAGAGAGUAAACAGUGCGUGAAACCGAUUAGAGGCAAGCGGGUGUAGUCAAGCUGCAAGUUGUGGGAAAUUGGCGGAUCAGAAUGGCGUGAGCUUGAGCAUAUUUGAUCUGGUUUUAGGCGCGUCUGAUAGGCGUGUUCGGCUCGCAAGGGUCGGAUGUGUGAAAGUGUCAUAUGAUGCUGCAUGCCUAUUACUGGUUUGUUCUGCUGGUCCGUUUACUUUCUCAUAGCGUAUGUCACGACCCGUCGCGGCUGUCGGUCCGCUUCGUCUAAACCGUAGCGUGAGUAGCCUUGUGUUUCUUGCGUUGCGGGGGCAGGUAGCCAAUUUGGUUUCGGCCAGGUUGGUGUAAUCGCUAGGCGGAGUGGUAUCUGUGCAGUACGGCGGGGCUGGCGGUGCGUGGUACCGGGCGUGCUAAAGCGUGUCGGCAUAGCGUGAGUAUGGCUUCUUGUUGCUGCUUCUUGCGGCCCUGAGGUGGCUCUGCUGUGGUUUGAUGUGCGGCGGCGGCCGGGGCACCUUCGCGUAUGUGCGCUACAGUCUGUGGCGUAGUGGUA